Molecule: non-coding RNA, 24 nt
Filed under: Arabidopsis thaliana (thale cress)
Lineage: Eukaryota; Viridiplantae; Streptophyta; Magnoliopsida; Brassicales; Brassicaceae
Source: RNAcentral
CGUGGACCGUCUGACUAAGUCAGC